GAUGAACGCUGGCGGCGCGCCUAACACAUGCAAGUCGAACGGUUAAAGCACCUUUUUGGUGUGUAUAAAGUGGCGAACGGCUGAGUAACACGUCGGCAACCUGCCCUCCUCUUGGGGAUAGCCUCGGCAAACCGAGGAUACUACCCGAUACUUCAAUGUGGCAGCAUGACGACCAUGAGAAAGCUUCGGCGGGGAUGGGUGGGCUCGCGGCCUGUUGGCUUGUUGGUGGGGUAGAGGCCUACCAAGCCAACGAAGGGUAGCUGGAUUCUGGGACCGACCAGCGAUCUUGGGUCUGACGCGCGGCCCAGGCACCUACUGGUGGCAGCUGGGCGGAAUCUUGCACAAUCGACGACGGCCGGAUGAAGCAGCGCCGCGUGCGGGACGAAGGCCUUCGGGUUGUAAACCGCUUGCAGCAGUGACGAUGCGAUAAGUGACGGUACCUGCAGAAGAAGCCCCGGCUAACUACGUG
RNAcentral lists this ribosomal RNA (469 nucleotides) under uncultured bacterium. RNAcentral's name for it is "partial 16S ribosomal RNA". It matches the Rfam family "Bacterial small subunit ribosomal RNA", at positions 28 to 507 of the family's 1533-position model. The record is from RNAcentral.